This is a long non-coding RNA of Ixodes scapularis (black-legged tick), 1442 nucleotides long. RefSeq lists it as uncharacterized. The record is from RefSeq and is a predicted model, not a curated record. NCBI's taxonomy places the organism in Eukaryota, Metazoa, Arthropoda, Arachnida, Ixodida, Ixodidae. The transcript is spliced from 5 exons.
GUGCAUGUUUUGCCUUACAGAGACGAGGUGAGCUUGUUGCUGGUUGCUGCUUUGAAAAAGAAGCACGUGGCCAUCCCUAUGAUAUUGGACUCAAGGUUCGAGAUUGAGAUGUCGCCAUCCCCUGCAGUGGGUGGCAAGUACAAGAAAAAUGAAGACGGAGGACAAGACGUCCACUGUGUCGCUUGUGGAGCAUGCCUGACUGGUUGAAAAGCUGCGGUCGGCAAAGCAGAGGGUGGUGAACCUGGAGCAGCAGCUCCAGAUAGAGAGGACGCUAUCAAGAAGACUGCAGUAGCAGCUGCUGGCACUACUGGUGGACAAUGUCCCGUCUGGCGGUGUUGGGUCAGCUCCUACAGCUUGCCCAGCAGCAGUUCCUGCAGCUGGUGCUCCUGCUCCAGUUCGCGUUGUGCGAGCUGGCGUAGAUGACACUCAACCCGCACCGGCCGCUGAUGCUGCUGUUCCAGCAGCGGUUCUUGUAGCAGGCCCACCGGAGGCACCUCCCGAGUGUAUGCCAGUGCUUGCAGAGGUCGAUGAUGAGUUAAGUUCAGAAUUUCAUUGAAUAUUCAUUUCAGAUAUUGGGCAAGGGACUACAUUUUAUGGUUUCCACAGCUGCUUGAAUGAGGUUAUUUGUCUGCUUCCUUAAAUUGAACCAUCGUUAUGCUUCAAAAUGCUGAUUAAUGUAAAGAGUAGAACCGGGCAUUGAUAAGAUAUUUCUUCCCAAUUAAUCGGCGCUUUUCUGAAACGUUUUCUAUCUGGUGUCCUCGUUUUAUUUCGAGCUUUUUCAUAAAUCGUGUACCACGAGCCCAGAUUAAAAUUCUGUUAUAAUUAGUACCCUUCUUUCGCUCUUUCUCUCUACUCAGAACCCACUUAAACGGACACUUACACUCCCCCAAAGUUUCAUUUUUUGCCAGGCGAUUUAUUAUGGUGCCAGAAAACGCAACUGCUCAGAACCGAAACUGAAACCCGUGCAUGGUGGUCGAAGAAGUGGAGAGGAGUCAGUGAGUGGGAGAGGUCACGUGGCUACACCCGACUGUUCACCUUGGCCAGGGUGUCUUGGUGCAAAAGUACAAACUGUCCUACGUCAGGGGAGCCCGGGGAGACUCCAUCUUCGUUAAAGAGGCCACGAAGCUGAUCUUCGGCAGGGAGGACCUGCAUGGGCCGAGUGUGAGGGGCGCCAUGAGGGCGCUUCAAGGGCACCGUGGCCAAGAGGGCCCUGACUCCAGUCAAGUUGGCAGCAGUCAGCAAUGCCUUCAACGAGUACAUAUGGAGGCAUCCUCGAGAGGCCUCUCCAGGGAAGAGGACAGCUCGGGUCAACCUACUGCAGUAUGCCUAUUUGUUAAUAUCCUACUGCAGGAUAUUAACAAGAAGCUUGACUUCUAAGCUUGCUUAGAGGUUAAGCUUCUUGUUGAUGUUCUGCAGUAUGCCAAUUUGCCUUCACUAAAUAC